CCUACGGGUGGCAGCAGUAGGGAAUUUUUCACAAUGGGCGAAAGCCUGAUGGAGCAAUGCCGCGUGAAUGAUGAAGGUCUUAUAGAUUGUAAAAUUCUUUUAUUUGGGAAGAAAAACUAAAGUAGGAAAUGACUUUAGUCUGACUGUACCAUUUGAAUAAGUAUCGGCUAACUAUGUGCCAGCAGCCGCGGUAAUACGUAGGUGGCAAGCGUUAUCCGGAUUUACUGGGUGUAAAGGGCGUGUAGGCGGGAAAGCAAGUCAGAUGUGAAAACCAUGGGCUCAACCUGUGGCCUGCAUUUGAAACUGGUUUUCUUGAGUACUGGAGAGGCAGACGGAAUUCCUAGUGUAGCGGUGAAAUGCGUAGAUAUCACGAAGAACUCCGAUUGCGAAGGCAGCCUGCUGGACUGUAACUGACGCUGAUGCUCGAAAGUGUGGGUAUCAAACAGGAUUAGAUACCCGAGUAGUC
Molecule: ribosomal RNA, 466 nt
Filed under: uncultured bacterium
Lineage: Bacteria
Description: partial 16S ribosomal RNA
Rfam family: Bacterial small subunit ribosomal RNA
Source: RNAcentral